UUAAGCGACUAAGCGUACACGGUGGAUGCCCUGGCAGUCAGAGGCGAUGAAGGACGUGCUAAUCUGCGAUAAGCGUCGGUGAGGUGAUAUGAACCGUUAUAACCGGCGAUUUCCGAAUGGGGAAACCCAGUGUGUUUCGACACACUAUCAUUAACUGAAUCCAUAGGUUAAUGAGGCGAACCGGGGGAACUGAAACAUCUAAGUACCCCGAGGAAAAGAAAUCAACCGAGAUUCCCCCAGUAGCGGCGAGCGAACGGGGAGGAGCCCAGAGCCUGAAUCAGUGUGUGUGUUAGUGGAAGCGUCUGGAAAGGCGCGCGAUACAGGGUGACAGCCCCGUACACAAAAAUGCACAUGCUGUGAGCUCGAUGAGUAGGGCGGGACACGUGGUAUCCUGUCUGAAUAUGGGGGGACCAUCCUCCAAGGCUAAAUACUCCUGACUGACCGAUAGUGAACCAGUACCGUGAGGGAAAGGCGAAAAGAACCCCGGCGAGGGGAGUGAAAAAGAACCUGAAACCGUGUACGUACAAGCAGUGGGAGCCUCUUUAUGGGGUGACUGCGUACCUUUUGUAUAAUGGGUCAGCGACUUAUAUUCUGUAGCAAGGUUAACCGAAUAGGGGAGCCGAAGGGAAACCGAGUCUUAACUGGGCGUUAAGUUGCAGGGUAUAGACCCGAAACCCGGUGAUCUAGCCAUGGGCAGGUUGAAGGUUGGGUAACACUAACUGGAGGACCGAACCGACUAAUGUUGAAAAAUUAGCGGAUGACUUGUGGCUGGGGGUGAAAGGCCAAUCAAACCGGGAGAUAGCUGGUUCUCCCCGAAAGCUAUUUAGGUAGCGCCUCGUGAAUUCAUCUCCGGGGGUAGAGCACUGUUUCGGCAAGGGGGUCAUCCCGACUUACCAACCCGAUGCAAACUGCGAAUACCGGAGAAUGUUAUCACGGGAGACACACGGCGGGUGCUAACGUCCGUCGUGAAGAGGGAAACAACCCAGACCGCCAGCUAAGGUCCCAAAGUCAUGGUUAAGUGGGAAACGAUGUGGGAAGGCCCAGACAGCCAGGAUGUUGGCUUAGAAGCAGCCAUCAUUUAAAGAAAGCGUAAUAGCUCACUGGUCGAGUCGGCCUGCGCGGAAGAUGUAACGGGGCUAAACCAUGCACCGAAGCUGCGGCAGCGACGCUUAUGCGUUGUUGGGUAGGGGAGCGUUCUGUAAGCCUGUGAAGGUGUGCUGUGAGGCAUGCUGGAGGUAUCAGAAGUGCGAAUGCUGACAUAAGUAACGAUAAAGCGGGUGAAAAGCCCGCUCGCCGGAAGACCAAGGGUUCCUGUCCAACGUUAAUCGGGGCAGGGUGAGUCGACCCCUAAGGCGAGGCCGAAAGGCGUAGUCGAUGGGAAACAGGUUAAUAUUCCUGUACUUGGUGUUACUGCGAAGGGGGGACGGAGAAGGCUAUGUUGGCCGGGCGACGGUUGUCCCGGUUUAAGCGUGUAGGCUGGUUUUCCAGGCAAAUCCGGAAAACCAAGGCUGAGGCGUGAUGACGAGGCACUACGGUGCUGAAGCGACAAAUGCCCUGCUUCCAGGAAAAGCCUCUAAGCAUCAGGUAACAUCAAAUCGUACCCCAAACCGACACAGGUGGUCAGGUAGAGAAUACCAAGGCGCUUGAGAGAACUCGGGUGAAGGAACUAGGCAAAAUGGUGCCGUAACUUCGGGAGAAGGCACGCUGAUAUGUAGGUGAAGCGACUUGCUCGUGGAGCUGAAAUCAGUCGAAGAUACCAGCUGGCUGCAACUGUUUAUUAAAAACACAGCACUGUGCAAACACGAAAGUGGACGUAUACGGUGUGACGCCUGCCCGGUGCCGGAAGGUUAAUUGAUGGGGUUAGCGGCAACGCGAAGCUCUUGAUCGAAGCCCCGGUAAACGGCGGCCGUAACUAUAACGGUCCUAAGGUAGCGAAAUUCCUUGUCGGGUAAGUUCCGACCUGCACGAAUGGCGUAAUGAUGGCCAGGCUGUCUCCACCCGAGACUCAGUGAAAUUGAACUCGCUGUGAAGAUGCAGUGUACCCGCGGCAAGACGGAAAGACCCCGUGAACCUUUACUAUAGCUUGACACUGAACAUUGAGCCUUGAUGUGUAGGAUAGGUGGGAGGCUUUGAAGUGUGGACGCCAGUCUGCAUGGAGCCGACCUUGAAAUACCACCCUUUAAUGUUUGAUGUUCUAACGUUGGCCCGUAAUCCGGGUUGCGGACAGUGUCUGGUGGGUAGUUUGACUGGGGCGGUCUCCUCCUAAAGAGUAACGGAGGAGCACGAAGGUUGGCUAAUCCUGGUCGGACAUCAGGAGGUUAGUGCAAUGGCAUAAGCCAGCUUGACUGCGAGCGUGACGGCGCGAGCAGGUGCGAAAGCAGGUCAUAGUGAUCCGGUGGUUCUGAAUGGAAGGGCCAUCGCUCAACGGAUAAAAGGUACUCCGGGGAUAA
Molecule: ribosomal RNA, 2450 nt
Filed under: human gut metagenome
Description: bacterial LSU rRNA
Rfam family: Bacterial large subunit ribosomal RNA
Source: RNAcentral